Molecule: ribosomal RNA, 447 nt
Filed under: uncultured bacterium
Lineage: Bacteria
Description: bacterial SSU rRNA
Rfam family: Bacterial small subunit ribosomal RNA
Source: RNAcentral
UCGGGAAUUUUGGGCAAUGGGCGAAAGCCUGACCCAGCAACGCCGCGUGAAGGAUGAAGUAUUUCGGUAUGUAAACUUCGAAAGAAUAGGAAGAAUAAAUGACGGUACUAUUUAUAAGGUCCGGCUAACUACGUGCCAGCAGCCGCGGUAAUACGUAGGGACCAAGCGUUGUUCGGAUUUACUGGGCGUAAAGGGCGCGUAGGCGGUGUGUCAAGUCAGUUGUGAAAUCUCCGAGCUUAACUCGGAACGGUCAACUGAUACUGUCACACUAGAGUACAGAAGGGGCAAUCGGAAUUCUUGGUGUAGCGGUGAAAUGCGUAGAUAUCAAGAGGAACACCUGAGGCGAAGGCGGGUUGCUGGGCUGAUACUGACGCUGAGGCGCGAAAGCUAGGGUAGCAAACGGGAUUAGAUACCCACGUAGUCCCUGAGCGGGCUGGCAAGGCGCAU